GAUGAACGCUGGCGGCGUGCCUAAUACAUGCAAGUCGAGCGAACGGACGAGAAGCUUGCUUCUCUGAUGUUAGCGGCGGACGGGUGAGUAACACGUGGAUAACCUACCUAUAAGACUGGGAUAACUUCGGGAAACCGGAGCUAAUACCGGAUAAUAUUUUGAACCGCAUGGUUCAAAAGUGAAAGACGGUCUUGCUGUCACUUAUAGAUGGAUCCGCGCUGCAUUAGCUAGUUGGUAAGGUAACGGCUUACCAAGACAACGAUGCAUAGCCGACCUGAGAGGGUGAUCGGCCACACUGGAACUGAGACACGGUCCAGACUCCUACGGGAGGCAGCAGUAGGGAAUCUUCCGCAAUGGGCGAAAGCCUGACGGAGCAACGCCGCGUGAGUGAUGAAGGUCUUCGGAUCGUAAAACUCUGUUAUUAGGGAAGAACAUAUGUGUAAGUAACUGUGCACAUCUUGACGGUACCUAAUCAGAAAGCCACGGCUAACUACGUG
RNAcentral lists this ribosomal RNA (497 nucleotides) under uncultured bacterium. Its description in RNAcentral is "partial 16S ribosomal RNA". It matches the Rfam family "Bacterial small subunit ribosomal RNA", at positions 28 to 507 of the family's 1533-position model. The record is from RNAcentral.